UUAUCGUUUAUUUGAUAGUACCUUACUACUUGGAUAACCGUGGUAAUUCUAGAGCUAAUACAUGCUAAAAAUCCCAACUUCGGAAGGGAUGUAUUUAUUAGAUUAAAAACCAAUGCCCUUCUGGGCUCUCUGGUGAUUCAUAAUAACUUCUCGAAUCGCACGGCCUUGUGCCGGCGAUGGUUCAUUCAAAUUUCUGCCCUAUCAACUUUCGACGGCUGGGUCUUGGCCAGCCAUGGUGACAACGGGUAACGGAGGGUUAGGGCUCGACCCCGGAGAAGGAGCCUGAGAAACGGCUACUACAUCCAAGGAAGGCAGCAGGCGCGCAAAUUACCCAAUCCCGACUCGGGGAGGUAGUGACAAUAAAUACUGAUACAGGGCUCUUUUGGGUCUUGUAAUUGGAAUGAGUACAAUUUAAAUCCCUUAACGAGGAACAAUUGGAGGGCAAGUCUGGUGCCAGCAGCCGCGGUAAUUCCAGCUCCAAUAGCGUAUAUUAAAGUUGUUGCAGUUAAAAAGCUCGUAGUUGAACCUUGGGCCUGGCUGGCCGGUCCGCCUCACCGCGUGCACUGGUCCGGCCGGGCCUUUCCCUCUGGGGAACCGCAUGCCCUUCACUGGGUGGUGUCGGGGAACCAGUACUUUUACUUUGAACAAAUUAGAUCGCUUAAAGAAGGCCUAUGCUCGAAUACAUUAGCAUGGAAUAAUAGAAUAGGAACGUGUGGUUCUAUUUUUGUUGGUUUCUAGGACCGCCGUAAUGAUUAAUAGGGACAGUCGGGGGCAUCAGUAUUCAAUUGUCAGAGGUGAAAUUCUUGGAUUUAUUGAAGACUAACUACUGCGAAAGCAUUUGCCAAGGAUGUUUU
Molecule: ribosomal RNA, 854 nt
Filed under: Cordana lignicola
Lineage: Eukaryota; Fungi; Ascomycota; Sordariomycetes; Coniochaetales; Cordanaceae
Description: SSU rRNA
Rfam family: Eukaryotic small subunit ribosomal RNA
Source: RNAcentral